RNAcentral lists this ribosomal RNA (469 nucleotides) under uncultured bacterium. Its description in RNAcentral is "partial 16S ribosomal RNA". It matches the Rfam family "Bacterial small subunit ribosomal RNA", at positions 28 to 507 of the family's 1533-position model. The record is from RNAcentral.
GACGAACGCUGGCGGCGUGCUUAACACAUGCAAGUCGAACGGAAAGGCCCUGCUUUUGUGGGGUGCUCGGGUGGCGAACGGGUGAGUAACACGUGAGUAACCUGCCCUUGACUUUGGGAUAACUUCAGGAAACUGGGGCUCAUACCGGAUAGGAGCUCCUGCUGCAUGGUGGGGGUUGGAAAGUUUCGGCGGUUGGGGAUGGACUCGCGGCUUAUCAGCUUGUUGGUGGGGUAGUGGCUUACCAAGGCUUUGACGGGUAGCCGGCCUGAGAGGGUGACCGGCCACAUUGGGACUGAGAUACGGCCCAGGCUCCUACGGGAGGCAGCAGUGGGGAAUAGUGCACGAUGGGCAGAAGCCUGAUGCAGCAACGCCGCGUGCGGGAUGACGGCCUUCGGGUUGUAAACCGCUUUCGCUCAUGACGAAGCUUUGUGUGACGGUAGUGGGUAAAGAAGCACCGGCUAACUACGUG